Molecule: ribosomal RNA, 116 nt
Filed under: Photobacterium phosphoreum
Lineage: Bacteria; Pseudomonadati; Pseudomonadota; Gammaproteobacteria; Vibrionales; Vibrionaceae
Description: partial 16S ribosomal RNA
Rfam family: Bacterial small subunit ribosomal RNA
Source: RNAcentral
UUAAUUGAAGAGUUUGAUCAUGGCUCAGAUUGAACGCUGGCGGCAGGCCUAACACAUGCAAGUCGAGCGGUAACAGAAAGAAAGCUUGCUUUCUUUGCUGACGAGCGGCGGACGGG